RNAcentral lists this ribosomal RNA (253 nucleotides) under uncultured prokaryote. Its description in RNAcentral is "partial 16S ribosomal RNA". It matches the Rfam family "Bacterial small subunit ribosomal RNA", at positions 525 to 777 of the family's 1533-position model. The record is from RNAcentral.
ACGAAGGUGGCAAGCGUUGUUCGGAUUUACUGGGCGUACAGGGAGCGUAGGCGGUUGGAUAAGCCCUCCGUGAAAUCUCCAGGCUUAACCUGGAAAGUGCAGAGGGGACUGUUCAGCUAGAGGAUGGGAGAGGGAAGUGGAAUUUCCGGUGUAGCGGUGAAAUGCGUAGAUAUCGGAAGGAACAUCAGUGGCGAAAGCGACUUCCUGGACCAAUACUGACGCUCAUGUGCGAAAGCGUGGGGAGCAAACAGGA